This 249-nucleotide small RNA is filed under the name Arabidopsis thaliana (thale cress). Its description in RNAcentral is "ATSL087980". Lineage: Eukaryota; Viridiplantae; Streptophyta; Magnoliopsida; Brassicales; Brassicaceae. The record is from RNAcentral.
AUUUUGAGUUAUGGACACACAAGGCCAAAACAUGUGUGUCGGGCGUGCGACCCAUCAACCUACUAGCAAUGGGGGAGAAAACAUAGCAUGUCGCAACAAAAGCUUGAUUCGAGGCGUCAGCAAAACACUGCCGUCUGUUCCCUUCAGUCCCUUAGCGCCCCGGGACGGGAGUGGGGGACGGCUCUACGCGCAGGCAACAGCAGCACCGGCUCCACGAAGUCUGAAUCGAAUCUUUCUGUUGGCUUUCCC